RNAcentral lists this transfer RNA (85 nucleotides) under Armatimonadota bacterium. Its description in RNAcentral is "tRNA-Leu". It matches the Rfam family "tRNA". Rfam says of the family: Transfer RNA (tRNA) molecules are approximately 80 nucleotides in length. Their secondary structure includes four short double-helical elements and three loops (D, anti-codon, and T loops). Lineage: Bacteria; Bacillati; Armatimonadota. The record is from RNAcentral. RNAcentral also lists the same sequence under 1 other name.
GCCGGGGUGGCGGAAGUGGCAGACGCGCCAGACUUAAAAUCUGGUGGGCUUUUAGCCCGUGCGGGUUCAAGUCCCGCCCCCGGCA